CGUGGCUAUGGAAGGCAGUAUGACAGGGAUAACAAUCAUGAAGAGCGGGGAAGGAGACCUAGGAGCAGGAGUCCUGGGCGUAGGAGAGGUCGCAGUAGGAGCCCUGCUGGGAGAAGAAAUAGGAGUCCUGUCCGGGAGGGAAGUGCUGAAAGACGAGCCAAGAUUGAGCAGUGGAACCGGGAAAGAGAGCAGACCGAUACUGGCAACAAGAAUGAUGUUGGUAAUAGCGAGGACAAUGGAUAUCCUGAAAAUGGGGGGCGGCAUCGUGACCAGCCAGAACACGAGAAUGCAGAAGGAUAUGAUUACUGAAUGGUUUUCUGGUACACACCGAAUGAGCUAAUUUGUAGCAAAUGCGCAGGAUACCUCUUUCCAGGGUUGUACAUCUUGAGCUUUGUCAUCCAAGCAAGAAUGUGACCAGAAGGGUAAGGUUUGUUUAUAUGUACCUGACAUGCAGGAUUAUGGUAUUAUGAAACUAAGUGUGUGCUUAGGUACAGACUGUUUGGUG
Molecule: unclassified non-coding RNA, 505 nt
Filed under: Hevea brasiliensis (rubber tree)
Lineage: Eukaryota; Viridiplantae; Streptophyta; Magnoliopsida; Malpighiales; Euphorbiaceae
Source: RNAcentral